AUGACCAGAAAGGAGAGCAAUGCAACUUCCCAGCAGCUGGCAAAUGCGAUUAUGAUACCAGCAAAGAAAGUGGAGAAGCUUGUGACGAAAUGACCGAGCUGCAGAAAAUUGAGCUCAGUGGUUAAGUCAGUGUCAAAGGCCCCAACCUCUUGAUUGAGUACUGAUCUCAGAAACGCUAGCCGCAUGCGUGCUAACUGUCUUUCACUUGAGUAUAUCCAGCAGGAGAUCUCUGCAUGUGGAUGUUAAGAGGAAAGGUUGCCGUUUGGAGUUGGGAGGCACACUGACAGCUCGUUGGUUCUCCAGGUGGUUUUUGACAAUCUUUGUCGACGCUGUGAAGGAGGUCUCCAAAAAAACAGAGCCAAUUUGGUUUAUUCCCAGAAUUUUGAGCGAAAAGCUCCCAGAUUUGCAGCUUGGAAGAAAUUUGGAUUUUUCUCCAGGCUCUGAUAGCCAAUCAACUGGAAGCCACAAAGAAAACAUUUCUUGACUGAAGCACCAGCAUAUGCAUAUGCUACUUCAGUUUUCGUCUUUCUGUUGUUGUUCUCAUUAGCAACGUUCAUGCAGUCAUGCACACAAAGAAAAUCACAAAUGGAUGAUGACUGGCUCAAACUCUUAUUAAAAAUUCUGAAUUGAUGUCUCAUGUGUCUGCCCUCCAAUAUUCAGUCUGGCAUCUUGGAAGCUUUUGAGGAUUAUGUUGUGCUAUUGAGUGCUUUCAUUUCCUCAGAGUGACAUGUUUGUCCUGAAAUUGUAUCCUUGCAGAUGUCAGUUCUUUUAAAAUAAUACUCU
This is a long non-coding RNA of Oryza brachyantha (malo sina), 783 nucleotides long. RefSeq lists it as uncharacterized. NCBI's taxonomy places the organism in Eukaryota, Viridiplantae, Streptophyta, Magnoliopsida, Poales, Poaceae. The transcript has 4 exons. The record is from RefSeq and is a predicted model, not a curated record.